RNAcentral lists this transfer RNA (69 nucleotides) under Podarcis lilfordi (Lilford's wall lizard). RNAcentral's name for it is "tRNA.Thr". It matches the Rfam family "tRNA". From Rfam's summary of the family: Transfer RNA (tRNA) molecules are approximately 80 nucleotides in length. Lineage: Eukaryota; Metazoa; Chordata; Lepidosauria; Squamata; Lacertidae. The record is from RNAcentral.
GUGUGGUGUAGUGGUUAAGAGCGGUAGACUAGUAAUCUGGUGAACGGGGUUCGAUUCCCUGCUCCUCCA